This is a long non-coding RNA of Armigeres subalbatus, 824 nucleotides long. RefSeq lists it as uncharacterized. The transcript is spliced from 3 exons. The record is from RefSeq and is a predicted model, not a curated record. Lineage: Eukaryota; Metazoa; Arthropoda; Insecta; Diptera; Culicidae.
AUCGUCGUUUGAUCAAGUCGUGCAAUUACUUCGGUAAUUUCACGUACUUCCGGUCACGAAGCAAUAAGUCCUCACUUAUUCUGAGGGCUUCAAGAACUUCUACUCGUCCAUUCUGACCUGGACCGUGGAAGAGGCGAGAGUGCGUGAUAAUUGUUUAGUGUCGCGGUGUGUUUUAUUUGCACUUGGUUGGUCAAUUUUUUCCCGUCAACUUUUGGCGCUGGGAAGUUGAUUAAAUUGUACUGGCUGACACUACGUUCAGCAUCUACCGAGUUUCCAGGAAUAGACAGAUGUUUCACCGCUAUAAGAGCUGAGGAGAGCGGUCAACCAAAACUUUUGUCCCCGCACUAAUCGCCUCCCGCUCGCCACACCGUGCCCAUUACGUCUUUGCCACGCUCUUGACCCCAAGUGCCAGCUUCAAAGGAUUUCUGACUGCCGGCCGAAGUCAGAAGGGAGUUGCGCCGUUGUAUCGCACUCCGGAAGAGCGAUUUCCCGCCGGAAAUUCAUCGUACCGACGACGGUACCUUUACGGUGGCAUAAUCUAGCCGUUUAUUGGGUGUAGUCUGUGUCUGUCUGCGCGACGCGACGAAGAGGAGAAGCGGAUUGAAAGAGAGCCGGUAAAGAAGAGAGGGCAAGCAGAAAUCCAACUGUAAGUAAGCCCAACAAAUGAGUCAAGCCCGACAAAUGUUUUGGUUUGAGUGAAGCUUUGGGAUAGAUACUGUUUAAAAAAGCCGUUAGUAGUGAGAAGAAAUCCGCACAGUUAGUUUUAGAUAGUAGAGCAUAAGGGAGGAGAAAUCAAAUAGAGAAAUAUGUAGAUAAUGUGGGUA